RNAcentral lists this ribosomal RNA (215 nucleotides) under uncultured bacterium. Its description in RNAcentral is "partial 16S ribosomal RNA". It matches the Rfam family "Bacterial small subunit ribosomal RNA", at positions 524 to 738 of the family's 1533-position model. The record is from RNAcentral.
UACAGAGGUCCCGAGCGUUGUUCGGAUUCACUGGGCGUAAAGGGUGCGUAGGUGGCGAGGAAAGUCGGAUGUGAAAGCUCGGAGCUCAACUCCGAAAUGGCAUUGGAAACUACCUUGCUCGAGGGUUGGAGGGGGGACUGGAAUUCUCGGUGUAGCAGUGAAAUGCGUAGAUAUCGAGAGGAACACCAGUGGCGAAGGCGAGUCCCUGGACAACU